RNAcentral lists this long non-coding RNA (1576 nucleotides) under Canis lupus familiaris (dog). RNAcentral describes it as "lncRNA (ENSCAFG00845013613.1)". Lineage: Eukaryota; Metazoa; Chordata; Mammalia; Carnivora; Canidae. The record is from RNAcentral.
UUUUUUUUUAUAGAAAACCUAGAUUUAUUUGUUAAAGUAUUACAAAGACAAAACAAUUAUCAUUGAAGUACUGUGAGGACUUCAUCCCAAUUUCAUUUGUUAUGGAAACUGACCUAAGAGGUUAGAAAUUAAAGGCUAUAACCUAAGAGGUUAUAACAAAACAGACUGGUGAAACAUGGUGAAAGAAGUAAAAGCUGAUCAGAAGCAUCCAUAUUAGUGGUAUUUCAUGUGGCUAGGAUAUUUCCCAAGAGGCUCUCUAAAGAUGCCUAAAUGAGCUAACCUGGAUCCCAAAUUAGUAAAAAGACCCUAAUCCCUGUGAAGAACAAGCAGUGGCCAGGAUUUCUCUGAGAUCUCUUUGUCUUUCUUUUUAAGGGGUAAGGGAAUCCUUAGGCUCUAAAGGAUAUAUCUUAGAUUCAGCCUCCUUCCUUCCCAUCCAGUCUACCUAUGUCUUCAAGCACCUGCGCAUUCUCACCACAUAGGCCUGCCAGGUUACAGAAGAUGCAUAUAGUGAAAGCAGGAACUAUAGGCCUUCUCAGAGGAUACCUAUACACAAAAGUUUUGGGUAGAUGAUAAACUACAAAUACCCUCUUGGUUAAGUUAAUUCACCUUUGUUAAUAAAGGUCAUAGUUUCUUCUGCUGGUGACAACUUUUUGUCUCAGUAUACAGUCUGUCUCAAAAAAAGAACUGGUUCAGGUAAAUUUUGGAGAAGGAAAAAGACUUUCAUCAACACCCACUCCACAGUAGAAGAGGCACCAAGUUCUUUAGUCCUUUCCUAGUUAUGAGCAGAAUCCCACAGCAGCAUAAAUCAUCUUCAGUGAUCAACAUCUGUAUCCUCAAACUGUCCAGCAACUGUUGGUGUAGUGUCUACCUCCAUCCCAUCUUCAUAAUCUCUGAUUGAAUCUUCUGUCCGGACUCCAGCCAUGUUAUAUUGGCUGCUCACAGACUGAGAAAGCAUUCCUUCUAAUCUCUCCAAGGUGGCUUGGCCUUCUGCUGUUAAAUGGGAUAAUCCUCCUUCAUAGGUAUAAAAUGUAGGGAUGUCCCCCUGCCCUUGUUCAUGUGCUUCCACAUCAUAUUCUUCUCCAUCGUAAUCAUCUGAAUCUUCAUCCUCAGGAUCAGGAUGCAAAGCCUGGCAUUCACACAUUGCAGUGAACAUUGCCUCCAAUGCUGAUUUAUCACUAGGCACAAAUCUAAAUUCAGCAAUAGGUUCAACAUCAUCAUCACUGUCUUCUUCUUCUUCAGCAACAGAUUCUUUUGAUUCUUGUCCAAAUUUAGCAUUCACCAUAACAUACAAAUGCUCUCGUGGAUAGGCAUUUAGGUCCCUGGACACCGCAUGCAAGCUAAUGGUGGGGUAUUCCAGUGAGAAUCCUAAUCCAGAGCCAUCUAACCAAGACAGGCAGCUCUCCGUGAUGUAGAGCAAGCCGGUGCCGAGGCCCUUGCCGUUCAGCACAGCCUCGGUCUUGGUCUCAGGCUGCUGCUGCCGAAGCCCCUCGGCCGAGCCGGUGGCAGAAAACUUUUGAGGAAGCUCAUUGCAGCAGGGAGCGCGGAGACACAGGCCAGGAGGGAGCUGCAGCGCGGC